RNAcentral lists this ribosomal RNA (301 nucleotides) under uncultured bacterium. RNAcentral's name for it is "partial 16S ribosomal RNA". It matches the Rfam family "Bacterial small subunit ribosomal RNA", at positions 509 to 808 of the family's 1533-position model. The record is from RNAcentral.
CAGUAGCACGGUAAUACGAAGGGUGCAAGCGUUACUCGGAAUUACUGGGCGUAAAGCGUGCGUAGGUGGUGGUUUAAGUCCGUUGUGAAAGCCCUGGGCUCAACCUGGGAAUUGCAGUGGAUACUGGGUCACUAGAGUGUGGUAGAGGAUAGUGGAAUUUCCGGUGUAGCAGUGAAAUGCGUAGAGAUCGGAAGGAACAUCUGUGGCGAAGGCGACUAUCUGGGCCAACACUGACACUGAGGCACGAAAGCGUGGGGAGCAAACAGGAUUAGAUACCCCCGUAGUCCCUGUCUCUUAUACA